UUGAAUAUGCUCACUGCAACUUUAGCAAGUUGAAGGCCUAGCAUCCAUGAGAGGAGAACAGAGUCAAAGGCUUUCUUAUAGUCUAGCCACAUUGAAACUAGGAUCUUCCUAUGCUCUUGCACCUCUGACAAAACACAUCUGCUUCUAUACUCAAUA
This is a long non-coding RNA of Octopus sinensis (East Asian common octopus), 156 nucleotides long. RefSeq lists it as uncharacterized. The record is from RefSeq and is a predicted model, not a curated record. Lineage: Eukaryota; Metazoa; Mollusca; Cephalopoda; Octopoda; Octopodidae. The transcript has 3 exons.